Long non-coding RNA from Gavialis gangeticus (Gharial), 92 nucleotides. RefSeq lists it as uncharacterized. The transcript is spliced from 3 exons. The record is from RefSeq and is a predicted model, not a curated record. Lineage: Eukaryota; Metazoa; Chordata; Crocodylia; Gavialidae.
CCUGACCUCUGUCCAAAGUGGAGAGGUGGGAUUCAAGACAACCCCCCAUAUUUAGAUUCUAUACCUGGAAAAUGAUAACAAAUGUAUAAAUU